CACCAUGUGCAUGUAUGAUCCAUUUUGACUUAAUUUUUGUAUAUGGUAUAAGGGAAGAGUCCAACUUCAUUCUUUUGUAUGUGGAAAUCUGAUUGUCCCAGAGUAAAAAUUACUCUGCUUUACCAGCCCUGUUUUAAAAAAUUUUAUGUGUGUAUGUGUAUAUGUACUUAUUACAGUUUUGUUUUCUUCCCUUUUAAGGAAAAUUUCAAAAAUGUUUCAAAUUCCCGUGGAGAAUCUUGACAACAUCAGGAAGGUACGGAAAAAGGUGAAAAGCAUUCUUAUGGAUAUUGGGCUUGACAGCUGCAAGGAGUUGCUGAAGGACCUUAAAGGCUUUGAUCCAGGAGAGAAGUACUUUUAUAACACAUCAUGGGGAGAUAUUUCUCUCUGGGAACCUUCUGGAAAGAAAGUGAGAUAUCGAACAAAACCAUACUGUUGUAGCCUCUGUAAAUACUCCACAAAAGUGCUUACUUCAUUCAAAAAUCAUUUACAUCGUUACCAUGAAGAUGAAAUUGACCAAGAGCUGGUGAUCCCUUGUCCAAACUGUGUGUUUUCCUCUCAACCCAGAGUUGUGGGGAGGCACUUCAGAAUGUUUCAUGCACCUGCUCGGAAAGUCCAGAACUACACUGUGAAUAUUUUAGGUGAAACUAAAUCAUCUAGGAGUGAUGUGAUAAGUUUUACAUGUUUAAAAUGUAACUUUUCAAACACUCUGUACUACAGCAUGAAGAAGCAUGUGCUGGUAGCCCAUUUUCACUACUUAAUUAAUUCCUACUUUGGCCUGAGAACUGAGGAGAUGGGUGAGCAACCAAGAGCUGACGACCCCCGUUCUACAGAGAAGAUGCCCCCAUCCGACAGGUAUUACUGUAAAAAGUGCAGCGCCAACGCCAGCAGCCAGGAUGCUUUAAUGUACCACAUCUUGACGUCGGAUAUACACAGGGAUUUGGAGAAUAAGCUUAGGUCUGUGAUCUCAGAACAUAUUAAGAAGACUGGACUUUUGAAGCAAAUGCAUAUUGCUCCAAAACCAGCUGCACGUGUGGCUGUACCACCCAACAGCAGUGCUCCGGGCAUCCCAGCCACAUCUCCUUGCUUCCACCUGGCCUUGCCACAGAACAGUCAGAGCCAAACUGUGGUACAGCCAGUUCAGGGUGCACCCCCCCCGGUGACUGGGGCCUCGGGCGCUUCUGGAAGCCUCACCCACUCCCCGCCUGCCGUUGCCCAGUCUCAUGUGACUCUGGUCUCCAGUCCUCUGCCAGUGGGCCAGAGCAACCUUACUCUGCCGCCCUCAACACCUCAGCCUGUCUUUCUCUCUCAUGGAGUUCCACUUAAUCAGGCAGCAAACCCUCCUGCGUUGCCCUUGAGUCAGCCAGUGGGACCUGUAAAUAAGUCGGUCGGAACCGGCGUCCUCCCCAUAAAGCAGACCAUCCGCCCGGGGGUUUUGCCGCUCAGCCAGCCUGUUGGGCCCAUAAGCAGACCAGUUGGGCCUGGAGUUCUCUCGGUAAAUAGACCUGUUGUGUCCGGUGUCCUUCCUGUCAAUCCCUCUGUCACCCCUGGAGUUCUUCAGGCGGUCUCGCCAGGGGUGAUUUCUGUGAGUCGGACAGUCCCGUCAGGGGUCCUUCCUGCGGGACAGAUGACCCCUGCUGGGGUUAUCCCUUCAGGACAGACAGCAACUUCUGGGGUUCUCCCUGCUGGCCAGGUGGUUCAGUCAGGGGUUCUCCCCAUUGGCCAGACAGCGCCAUCGGGGGUGCUCCCCACUGGGCUGACAGUCCCGCCGCGGGUCCUCCCUCCUGGCCAGACGGUCCCACUGAGGGUUCUCCCUGCAGGCCAGGUAGUCCCACCUGGGCUCCUUCCUCCCAACCAGACGGUCUCGUCAGGUGUUCUCCCUGUGAACCAGGGUAUUAACUCUGGUGUUCUUCAGCUCAGUCAGCCUGUCGUGUCAGGGGUCCUUCCUGUGGGCCAGCCAGUGAGGCCGGGGGUCCUGCAGCUUAAUCAGUCUGUGAGUACCAACAUCCUGCCUGCUCAUCAGCCCAUCAGACCCGGGGCUUCGCCAAACACCGCUUUCCUAACAUCAGGCUCUAUUCUCAGACAGCUGAUACCCACAGGGAAACAAGUGAAUGGGAUUCCCACAUACACACUUGCCCCAGUAUCUGUCACUUUGCCUGUGCCCCCUGGAAGUGUCGCCACUGUUGCCCCCCCCCAGAUGCCCAUCCAGCUCCUGCAGUCGGGCACGGCUGCACAGAUGGCCAGCUCCAUGGCCAGCCUGCCCUCCCCACCAGUGGUGGUAAAUGCCACUCAGAAUAUGUUCGUUCAGCCUUCUUCGUCUGUGGCAGAGGCAAAUCAGGUGCUCAAACAGGCAAAGCAGUGGAAAACCUGUCCAGUUUGCAACGAGCUCUUCCCUUCCAAUGUCUACCAGGUCCACAUGGAAGUGGCACAUAAGCACAGCGAAUCCAAAUCCGCUGAAACACUGGAGCCGGAAAAGCUGGCGGCAUGUGCACCGUUUCUAAAGUGGAUGAGAGAGAAAACAGUUCGGUGUUUGUCCUGUAAGUGCUUAGUCUCAGAGGAGGAGCUUAUCCGCCACUUGCUGGUGCACGGCCUGGGGUGCUUGUUCUGCCCGUGCACUUUCCAUGAUAUUAAAGGCCUCUCAGAGCAUAGUAGGGUUAUGCACCUAGGGAAGAGGAGACUGCCCGUGGACUAUAGCGACAAAGGAUUUCAGCUGGAUGUCGAUGCCAAUGGCAGCCUGCUGUUUCCCCACCUCGACUUCAUCACCAUCUUGCCCAGGGAGGAGCUGGGUGAGCGGGAGGUCUACUUGGCCGUGCUGGCUGGGAUACACUCCAAGUCACUGGUGCCCGUGUACAUCAAAGUGAGGCCGCAGACCGAGGGUGCGCCCGGGAGGCCUGGCAACCAGGCGCUGACCUGCCCUUUUUGCUUCGGCACCUUCGUGACGGCUGAGGCGUACGAGCUGCAUCUGAAGGAGCGGCACCACAUCAUGCCAACGGUGCACACGAUUUUGAAAUCCCCGGCUUUCAAGUGCAUCCACUGCUGUGGGGUUUACACGGGCAACAUGACUCUGGCAGCCAUUGCCAUACACCUGCUGCGCUGUCGGAGUGCUCCAAAGGACAGCAGCUCAGGCCUGCAGGUCCAGCCUAAUUUUAUUGAGAACAGUGAACUGCUUUUAGUCAAUGGUGAGGUGAUACACGACUCCAGUUUUUCUGUAAAGAGAAAGAUGCCUGACAGCCAGUUUGGGGCUGAGGAGCAGAGGGAGGGCGAGGAGCGGCCUGUCCCCACGAGCGCUGACAGAGAGCCAUCCCCGGAGAAGGCGACGAGCGCCGUGCCUUCUAAAAGACAGAGGAGCGAAAGCAGGACGGAGGCGCCCCUUGUUCACGACGACGCUCUCCAGGUUUUAGCGUUAAAUCCUAAAAGAUAUGAAGACCGUUCUUACGAAGAAAAAAAGCAGUUUCUUAGAGAUUAUUUCCACAAGAGACCAUAUCCCAGUAAAAAGGAAAUAGAACUGUUAUCCUCACUCUUAUGGGUGUGGAAAAUUGACGUGGCUUCAUUUUUUGGAAAAAGAAGGUAUAUUUGCAUGAAAGCAAUAAAAAAUCACAAGCCUUCUGUACUUUUAGGCUUUGAUAUGUCUGAACUUAAAAAUGUUAAACACAGAUUGAACUUUGACUAUGAACCACAAAACUUGUAAAAAAAAAUUAGGAAAUCUAAAGUACUAGAUACUUAGUAGUCUUUUUCAAUUGAGAUUUUUAAAAAUGUUAUUUUCUUCACUGUAUGUUGAACUAAUCAAUUUCAGUGGUCUUUAUGCUGCUCUUUAGAUUUAUUUCAGGUGCUCAGAAAGACUUUUAUAUAAAGAACUGAAUAGUUCUUUCAAAUUUAUUGUUUCCUGCAGCUUGAUUUUGUAACAGUUGUUUUUCAUUUUUUCCUCUGUCAUGUAAAUUAAAUCUUUUGAUAUUUCAUGCAUGCCUUGUUUUCCCAGUAGUGUCAGUAUCGUAUGAUAAAAACUGAAAUCUAUAUAUGUUUGUUUUUCAUUUAAGGAAAUUUCAGCUUGUUUCAGAAUACUUGAUUAACUGCGAAUUAAAACUGCUCUCCCUCAGCUUCACAAGUAGCAGCAGAUGAUACAGUAAAUGUUUAGAGAAACGCACACGUAGCCCUUUAGGGUGUCGAGAUAUACAGGGCAUCCUGAUCCUAGAUGGUUACAGCACCAACAGUAACAGUGCCCUCUGUGUGCCAGAUUUUAUAUGUGCUUUCAAAUAACUAACUGGAGUGGCUACGUACAUCAAUAAGACAACUUACACAAAAGAAGGAGGGCAGCUGAUGCAGGAAUUUCUGAAGCUCACUGGGGAAGCCUAAGUUUAGCCGGGCCAGUGGCUCCUCCCCACUCCAGUCACAUGACUCCAGGCAUGUUAGCAGAGGCCUUUUCACUACGUUCAGCUCUAAGGAUACAUAUUCAAAACCUCUUGAUCACGUGCAAUGGUGGCAUGCUAAGUAUGCAAUGCAGCCACUGAAGAUGGCGACCAGUGUGGUUGUGGACGGGCACUUGUAGCCACGAGGUACCUCACUCAUCCAUUCGUCAUUCCCAGCUACUUCAGUGGUGAUGCCAGAGGGAGCAGACUUGCCUCAGGUGUGACCUGAGCCCGAAUCCAGCACCUGUGCCCUGUCGACUAAGAAACGUGCCUUCCUGAGCUGCUUCCUUAACAAAGGUUCAUACUCCUUGUGCCUUAUACGUUGUUUGAUGGUAAAUGAGGCUUUCUUUAAAGGCAAGUUUUGAGAGUUGCAAUAAGAAAUAGGUGUGAUUUUUUUUUGGAUGUUUCAGUAGAAAAUGUUUCUGAGAGUAUGUAUUUUGCAUUUGCUUAGUACCUGCAGUUUGCUCACCUGAGUCUGACAAUCCUGUGGAAGAGAUAAGUUAGGCUUUGCUUCUUGCUGAUGAGCAAACCGGCCCAGAGAGGUAAAUGACUUUUCUUAGGCCAUAUGAUACGGUGGUUGGCAGAGCCAGAUCUAAGUUGGAGUUACUGACUUAUUUUCUAGCAUACACUACCUCUCCAUGAAGAUAAGUCUUUAAAAAAUAAUGUUUUAACGUGGGAUAACAGAUGACCUCAGUGAGAGAGAAACGGGGAAGCUGCUCAAUCAACCCGAGUGCAGCCGAGGUUGCUCACUGGUGGAGGGGAGGGAGAAGAGGCCGGCAACACCUGCAAGCACUUGAAGCAGCACCUGAAAGUGGGGUCCUUGUAACAGGAAUCCCACAGGCCUGCUGCUUUAAACUGAUGUGAUUCCCACAAAUCGAAGGAAGCGGCAAACUGACGCAACUUAUGUUUGACUUUCAGAUUCUCCAGCAGCGUUUUUCAACCUGGGAAGGGCCGAACACCCUACAAAGGUUAAGGAGCGUGAGAAAGAAACACUUUCAAAGCUGGACAGCCCUAAAGCCCAAGCGAAUCGCAAGCUGCUAACAGCAGUGCACGUGACGGCGCUAUCUCCACCCCCGACCCUGACGUCAGCAGACCUUCCCGUGGGCUUCAGCGAGGACGGAUUCUGCUCUGGACAGCCCAGAACUUACUUGAAGAAAGCGUUCUGCUGUUUGAAGAGGUUCAGAGAAAAUUAAAGUCUCCGGCUCCACCAAAACCCUAGGACACUAGCUCCACCCCUUCAGCAGAGGCACAGCCCAGAGGCGAGGACGAACACCUCCAGGGCGGCUGGAGCACCUUCUUCUGACACUGGCUGCCCUUCCAAGGUGGGUGAUAGUAUCUCACUCAUCGCUGUGCCAGCUGGGCUUGUGCAAGGACAGUGUAAAAAGCUUCGUUCUUUAAAACCUGUAGAGUCUGAGUGGCACAUGAGUCCUGUCUUUGCUGCAAGGGUCUGGGGUUCAUUCCGUGCUUUUCCUUUGGGUACUGAAUUCUGCAUUCAGUUAGGAAGCAUCACAUUCAAGUUAUUCCUUGUCCCCAGACCUCACUGCCCUCACCUUUCUGCCUGGAACGCUCCAAACCACGCUUAAAGCAGCUACUCCUUCUGUUCCUCAAACUAAGACCAGCAUGAUCCUUAGAUGCAUUGUCGAGAAAUUAAUGUAAUCUGGGAACGUGUCAUGUGACCUUUAAGGCCCGUUCAUACACGGACCCCAAAAUGGUUCGUUGCUCCACAUAUUCUUGGUUAUCAGACCACAGGUCAACAGGGCAGUGUGUGUGUGCAAAAGGAUGUUUGUACACAGGCACCUGAAGAGAGAGGGAAGGAGCCUGGAUGAACAAAUCAGCUAAGAAUCCAAAGCGUUAUUUCUAGACUGCUUAUGACCAGAAAUUUGUACUCGUUUCCUUUUUUCCCCCAAUUUAAAAAAUUGUUAGAAUACACGUAAUAUAAAAUUUACCAUCUUAACCAUUCUUAAGUGUACAGUUUGGUGGCAUUUAAAUACAUUCACAUUGUUGUGGAACCGUCACCACCAUCCAUCCAGGGAACAUUUUUAUCUUCCCAAAUUGAAACGCUGUCUCUAUUCAACACUAACUCCCAUAUUUCCCCUCCCCCAGCCCCUGGAACCCAGCGUUCUACUUUCUGUCUCUAUGUAUGAUUUUGCCAACUCUAGUGAUCUCCUUUAAAUGGAAUCAUUCAGGAUUUGUCCUUUUGUGACUGGCUCAUUUCACUCAGCAUAAUUCCUCCAGUUUCAUCCAUGUUGUAGUGUGUGUCAGAGUGUC
This is an RNA transcript of Aethalodelphis obliquidens (Pacific white-sided dolphin), 6668 nucleotides long. It is a transcript of the gene named ADNP homeobox 2, with no coding region annotated. The record is from RefSeq and is a predicted model, not a curated record. NCBI's taxonomy places the organism in Eukaryota, Metazoa, Chordata, Mammalia, Artiodactyla, Delphinidae. The transcript is spliced from 7 exons.